This 952-nucleotide ribosomal RNA is filed under the name uncultured Gammaproteobacteria bacterium. RNAcentral describes it as "bacterial SSU rRNA". It matches the Rfam family "Bacterial small subunit ribosomal RNA", at positions 8 to 951 of the family's 1533-position model. Lineage: Bacteria; Pseudomonadati; Pseudomonadota; Gammaproteobacteria. The record is from RNAcentral.
AGAGUUUGAUCAUGGCUCAGAUUGAACGCUGGCGGCAGGCUUAACACAUGCAAGUCGAGCGGAAACGAUGAUAGCCUGCUAUCAGGCGUCGAGCGGCGGACGGGUGAGUAAUACUUAGGAAUCUACCUAGUAGUGGGGGAUAGCUCGGGGAAACUCGAAUUAAUACCGCAUACGUCCUACGGGAGAAAGCAGGGGAUCAUUAGACCUUGCGCUAUUAGAUGAGCCUAAGUCGGAUUAGCUAGAUGGUGGGGUAAAGGCCUACCAUGGCAACGAUCUGUAGCUGGUCUGAGAGGAUGAUCAGCCACACCGGGACUGAGACACGGCCCGGACUCCUACGGGAGGCAGCAGUGGGGAAUAUUGGACAAUGGGGGGAACCCUGAUCCAGCCAUGCCGCGUGUGUGAAGAAGGCCUUUUGGUUGUAAAGCACUUUAAGCAGUGAAGAAGACUCUUCGGUUAAUACCCGGGGACGAUGACAUUAGCUGCAGAAUAAGCACCGGCUAACUCUGUGCCAGCAGCCGCGGUAAUACAGAGGGUGCAAGCGUUAAUCGGAAUUACUGGGCGUAAAGCGAGCGUAGGUGGCUUGAUAAGUCAGAUGUGAAAUCCCCGGGCUUAACCUGGGAACUGCAUCUGAUACUGUUAGGCUAGAAUAGGUGAGAGGAAGGUAGAAUUCCAGGUGUAGCGGUGAAAUGCGUAGAGAUCUGGAGGAAUACCGAUGGCGAAGGCAGCCUUCUGGCAUCAUAUUGACACUGAGGUUCGAAAGCGUGGGUAGCAAACAGGAUUAGAUACCCUGGUAGUCCACGCCGUAAACGAUGUCUACUAGUCGUUGGGUCCCUUGAGGACUUAGUGACGCAGCUAACGCAAUAAGUAGACCGCCUGGGGAGUACGGCCGCAAGGUUAAAACUCAAAUGAAUUGACGGGGGCCCGCACAAGCGGUGGAGCAUGUGGUUUAAUU